This 339-nucleotide ribosomal RNA is filed under the name Ninetinae gen. n. sp. MACN273. Its description in RNAcentral is "partial 12S ribosomal RNA". The record is from RNAcentral. Lineage: Eukaryota; Metazoa; Arthropoda; Arachnida; Araneae; Pholcidae.
UUUCCGCCCCCAUAAGGUAGUAUCAUCAAGAAAAACCCACAUAAAAUGACGGUUGAGACUUCAUAGAGGAACUCGCUUCAUAAUCGACAAUCCCCGCUAUCUUUCACUUUCUCAAAAUCACUUUCCUAAGCCUAUAUACCGCCGUUUAAAGAAAUAAUUCAAAUCUUAGUUUCCAAAUCAGUACCCUAAAAAAAUCAGGUCAAGGUGUAGCCAACGAGAAAGAAGAAGUAAGUUACAAUAAACAAAAUUUAAGGAUCUAGGACCAAACCCCCUAAAGAAAGAGAAUCUAUUUACACAGCAAAGUUAAAACCUUUACUCGAAAUCAAGCAAUCUCAAUGU